CCCAGAAACAAACCCAUACCCUAAUACCUGAACCCACCGCCCAUCCCCACUGAUGACCCCGCCGCCCACCCACGCCCGCAACUCUAUUUCACCGGCCGUGACCCCGCUGCACCGCAAAGCCAAGCUCAGAUCCACCACCCACGUCCCCUCUCGCCAGCCCAUUUCAUGAUCUCGCCCCUCUUCCUCCGACGAACCCCACCGAGCCGCCUUCUAAUCCUAGGCUGCUGCCUUAAACCCAGGCCUCCGCUUCUCUUCGCACUGACUUUUCUUCACCUCCUCGCCAAUACUAUCCAGAUUCGCGAGGUCCACAACCAGAUCGACCGCUCCGAUUUCAAAUAACAAUGGACGCCAAGAGUGUUGCUUCUCAGCUAAAAAGUUCUGGUCUAUUACGUACCCAGGGCCUUAUUGGUCGGAAAUGGACAGCCGCAUGUGACGGGAAAACUAUAGAGAUGUUAUACCAUCGUGUCAACUAUCAAAGAGACAAUAAAGAAGGCACAUAGUUCGACAGUGGUUGAACUGAAUCAGCACAAACUCCUGAAAACCAUCUCUUUGUUGAGUAAACUUAGAGCUGCUUCAAGUUAAAGGGCUUGAUAAGCUGAUUCGACCAAUGAGGUUUUGCUGAAGUUUCGACAUCCAGUUAGCGCAUCCGCUUUGAAGGAUAGACUGAUUGCAACACAGGGCACUGACAAUUGGUGGGAACUCAAUAAUUCUAACCUUAUCGUACCAUGUAACAUAGAAGAAUGGCAAGAAAGAAGGUAAUUUUGAUUCUUGAAGGAGGAACUUGGUCUUACUGUGGGGUUUUCAUGCUCCUUAACCGCACUUAAGAGUGAACUUCCCCUGAAAAACUAACAUUUAUUGUCUUAAGAACGUCGACCAUCAGCCUAUUCAUGCAUAAAAGCCGAAUAUAGAAGAACCGACAAACUUUCGUUUAAAUCGCAUGUUUUCCCACGCGUUGCUUGUGAUUUUGUGAAUUAUAAGCAGUUCAAGUUUAGCUCAUUUUGGAUUUUAGUUUCUGCUAGUUGCAUCCUAACAAGUGCAGUA
This is a long non-coding RNA of Morus notabilis, 1041 nucleotides long. RefSeq lists it as uncharacterized. The transcript is spliced from 3 exons. Lineage: Eukaryota; Viridiplantae; Streptophyta; Magnoliopsida; Rosales; Moraceae. The record is from RefSeq and is a predicted model, not a curated record.